UGUGGCUCAGUGGUAGAGUGCUUGCCUAACAUGCAGGAAGCCCUGGGUUUGAUUCCUCAGCA
Dipodomys ordii (Ord's kangaroo rat) is the source of this 62-nucleotide non-coding RNA. The record is from Rfam. NCBI's taxonomy places the organism in Eukaryota, Metazoa, Chordata, Mammalia, Rodentia, Heteromyidae.